AUCAACAUAGCAAAUAGCUAAGUGCAUCAGGUUUAAAACCUGAAGGAGGGGAUAAACCCUGUUGAUU
This 67-nucleotide transfer RNA is filed under the name Goniodes dissimilis (brown chicken louse). RNAcentral describes it as "tRNA-Leu". It matches the Rfam family "tRNA". Rfam says of the family: Transfer RNA (tRNA) molecules are approximately 80 nucleotides in length. Their secondary structure includes four short double-helical elements and three loops (D, anti-codon, and T loops). Further hydrogen bonds mediate the characteristic L-shaped molecular structure. tRNAs have two regions of fundamental functional importance: the anti-codon, which is responsible for specific mRNA codon recognition, and the 3' end, to which the tRNAs corresponding amino acid is attached (by aminoacyl-tRNA synthetases). tRNAs cope with the degeneracy of the genetic code in two manners: having more than one tRNA (with a specific anti-codon) for a particular amino acid; and 'wobble' base-pairing, i.e. permitting non-standard base-pairing at the 3rd anti-codon position. The record is from RNAcentral. Lineage: Eukaryota; Metazoa; Arthropoda; Insecta; Psocodea; Philopteridae.